AUGUCAUUUGAUAAAUCUCGGUCCAUUGUUCUUGUUAAUAAAGACUUUUACCAAUAUUAUCCUUUCCCGUGCCUCGAAACUAUCAACCUGGCCCAAAGAAUGAUUUUUUCUUUAGGAUUCAUGGUUAUUUUUUCUUGUUAUUAUGCAUUACUAUUGAUUCAUGUGCAUGUGCUAAAAAGAAAAAAAAUACCCAACUUGAUUUGGAUGCGGGCGCCAACUAACAAGUUUUCACUUUUGGACGUGGGCGCAGGGGUCAUCGACAUGGACUACUGCGGCCUAGUGGGCAUCAUGCUAUUCAACCACUCGGAGGCGGACUUCGUCGUGAAGCCCGGCGACCGCGCCGAACAUAUGAUCGUCCAGGUCAUUGCGACGCCGGAGGUCGCCGAGGUGAAGGACCUCGACGCCAUCGUCUGGCGGGAGGGAGUGCUCUGA
Molecule: ribosomal RNA, 432 nt
Filed under: Triticum aestivum (bread wheat)
Lineage: Eukaryota; Viridiplantae; Streptophyta; Magnoliopsida; Poales; Poaceae
Description: partial small subunit ribosomal RNA
Source: RNAcentral